Long non-coding RNA from Equus caballus (horse), 5522 nucleotides. Lineage: Eukaryota; Metazoa; Chordata; Mammalia; Perissodactyla; Equidae. The record is from Ensembl.
AUGCCUACUGCAGUGCCUGGCAUGUAGCAAGGUUCGUUAAAUGUCAUUGCCGUUCCAGCCCUUCCCCGUGACGUGCUGGAGCCAGCUCAUACCAGCUCAGUAGCUCACGAGAGCUAAUCAUAUUUUCAAGAAUUUUGUGAGCCAAUUGACCUAACAUUGGCACCUUGAAGUUGACCUUUAUGGGAUUAUUUACAGCAUGGAAACUGGAAAUGCUGCAAAUCAGGACUUCCCUGCCCAGGCAGUUGUUAAACGUAAACUACUGCCUCCACUCCAUUCUUCCCUUCUCAAGAUGUGAGCAGAACCAUGGAGGAUCGUGUGUCAGGAUUAGAUUCAGCAGUGAGUUACCCCCCACCCCCCAAAAAAUAGAACAGCUGUUUACUAGUAAAAAUUCUUUCUUUCUUCCUUCUUUCCUUCUUUCCUUCUAUCCUUGUUUCUUUCUUUCUCUUUCUCUCUCUCUCUCUUUCUUUCUUUCUUUCUUUCUUUCUUUCUUUUUUGAGGAAGACUGGCCCUGAGCUAACAUCCGUGCCCAUCUUCCUCCACUUUUUUACAUGUGGGACGCCUGCCACAGCGUGGCUUGACAAGCGGUAUGUAGGUCUGCACUGGCGAACCCCAGGCCGCUGAAGUGGAACGUGUGAACUUAACCACUGCACCACCAGGCUGGCCCGAAGUUUGUUUUUUAGAUCAAGGUGGAGAGUUCAGGGCUUGGCUAGUAGCUCUACUUUGUUGCCUCACCAUCCUCAAAACAUGGCUUUUACUUCAUGAUCUAAGAUGGCUGCUCAAGCUUCACGUUCCAGCCAGCGGGAAAGACAAGGACAAAGAAACACACACUCCUCCUAUUAAGGCCAUUGACAGAAGUAACACACAUUUCUACUUAUAUGAAGUAGGUUGAAGUGAAGUCACUUAGCCAUAUCUAGAUGCAAAGGUGGCUUGGACAUGUGUUAUUUACCCCAGGCAGCUGUGUGCCCAGCUGGAAACUGAGAAGAAGGAGCAAGUGGAUAUCGGGAGACAGCUGUCAGUCCCUCCCACUAAUGCGCAGGAGUUAGGAAAGUGGAGAGAGGGGAAAGUGGUGCUGGUGUGAUGGCAUGAAUGUGGUUUGUGAAACUCUGAAGGAGUUGGCUGGAAUAUAAAAUUAAAAUACUGAAAAGCAAGGUUAAAUAAACAAGGUGGAAGCCAGAUUGCAGUGAGGGUCCAGGAAAGCACACAAAAGAAUCUUUCUCUAGUACCGUUAGAAACAGAAGACAUUGCCCUUUUGAGUAGGUGAGCUGGGUCCAGCCCAGAGGCCAAGUGGUUCAAGUUCCAUGUGCUCCCCUUCAGCGGCCUGGGUUCGCAGGUUCGGAUCCUGGGCACGGAUCCACUUACCAGCCACUCUGAGGAGGUGUCCCACAUACAAAAAACUAGAGGAAGACUGGCACAGGUGUUAGCUCAGGGCAAAUCUUCCUUAGCUUAAAAAAAAAAAAUGAGUAAGUGAGCUCUAUAAUCAGAGGCAUUUAAGAAAUUUAAAUGUGGCACUUACGUGCUUGACACGUUGGAGGGAGGAAAAACAGGAAGCAGCAGGGAGGUCAGAAAGAAUUUCACAAUACAGGUGUGAGGUGAUUACGUGGGGGCAAUGGGAAUGAGGAGGAAGAAAUAAAUCUGAGAGGCGUUUGCUAGAAAAUGUGUUUGCUUUGAUGGUUGGCCUGAUAGGGAGUUUCAGGCUGGGGUGGUGGAGAGACAGGAGUCACAGAGACAGGGAGCAAGCCUGUCUGGUAGGUAUUUUAGAUUGGGUCACCUAGAAGCACAGUCUGGCACAGGACUUUUGUGAUCUUUGUCCAAGGGAUUGAUUCGGGGAGAAGGGAUUGAUUCGGGGAGGAGAAGGAGAGUGAGGGAAACAGGAUGGCAAAGGGGAAGAAGCUAAGCAAGGGUGUGAGCUGAACAGCUGUGCAAGCCUGCAGGGAGGCUGUCCACACAAAUUGCACCAGAGUUGGUUCUACCUUGAGGCAAGAGCACUGGUGUCUUGUAGCCCUUCAUCAGGCAGUCACUGGCCAAGGUCUAUCCAAAGUGUGUAUAGGGAGGGAUGGCUUGGCUCCCAUUUGGUCCAGGGCAAUUCUCUAGAAAAGAGGACAGCUGUGUGUGGUUAUUGGACAACAUGCCUGGCAACUGGGAGUUGAGUUGGCCAGCUGGUAAAGAGGAGCUGGAUGAGGCCCAGGCAGCAUCUAUUAUAGUGCGUCCAUUUUGAGUGUGUUGGAUUUGAAGUGGCGAGGAAAUAAGGUAUUGACACAUGACUAGUGGGAAAGUGGAGAUACAAGAUAGGAGUUCAUGUGGAAGAAGAGCUGAGCUAUGUAGACAUUAGAGUGGGAGACUCUGGCCACACAGGUGACAGCUUCAACAAGAAGCUCUUUGAGGGCCGUGGAUGGAAAGAGGGGAGCAAGCCUUUGGAGAGUAAGUUGGAUACCCCUUAGUGGCAAGGUGGGUGGAAGAGGAGCAACUAAUGAAUAAAGCAAUGCAGAGACCAGUAGAGAAGCGUGUUUGUGUGGUAAUUGACCUUACAUUUUGACUGGAAGUCAAGGGAAGAAAAAGUUGAAGGGGAAUAAGUAUGGAGAAAAGGUUGAAGUUUAUUUUUCAUCAGUUGGGAGGUGGUUGAUGGCCUUUCAGGGAGCAAUGUCACGAUAGGACAGGGUUAGAAACCACAUGGCGAGGGUCAGUAAUGCUUUCCACAUUUAAUGCCAUUCCGUUCUGACUAAUUCUCAAGUCCUUUCGGGCACUUCUGCUUCAAUUUAUAUGCUGCUCAUUCUUGCUUGUCCUGAAGUUACUCUAUAUUCUGGUUAUCUAAUGUUGCCUAAGAAAUUACCCCAAGACUUAGGGGAAUGAGACCCCCUUUGUUAUGUUCCUGGGUUCUGUGGGUCAGGAAUUUGGACAGAGCAAAGUGGGGAUGGCUUGUCUCUGCUCCACGAUGUCUGGGGUCACACCUGGAAGGCUUGAAAGCUGGGAACUGGAAUUGUUUGCAUGAUCCUUCACUCCCAUGUCUGGCAGUGGAUGCUGGCUAUUGGCUGGGGGCCUCAGUUCCUCUCCUUGGGGUCUAGAUUGGACCCUCUUGCAUGAUGGCUGGGUAACUGAGAGAGAACCAGGCAUGAACUAUAUUCUUUUUAUGACCUCACCUUUUGAUGAUCUACACUGCUUUCCUCAUAACCCAUUGGUCACAGCAGUCACAGCCCCACUCAGAUUCAAGGGGAGGGAACAUAACUCCACCCUGGAGUCUGUCACGUGACAAGAAGAGCAUGGGGUGGGGUAGGGGGCUGCUAUCUUUGGAAAUACAAUCUUCCAUAAUCUGACAAAGCUCUCCAUUUGCUUCUUGUGAGUGGCCCCGUUUAUUCAACUAUCCUCAAUAAUAACAGCCACUGGAGGAACUUCCUGAGGGCAGGAGUCUGGCCUGUUACUCGUAUCUUUAGAUCCUAAGCAUUUGCACAGUAAAAGACCCCCAAUAGAUACCUGUGGAAGGAAGAACUCUUUUUAAAGCCUAUCAUCUCUUUUUCACAUGCACUGCAUUGUUUGAUCCAAAACCAGCCAUCAGGACCACUUGCAGCUGAAGAAAUUGAGGCUUAGAGGGCUCCGUGGGCUACCCCAGGUGACUCAGCGAGCAGGAGCUCAGCUGUGACAUGAACCCAGGUCUUCUGCGUUGAUGCUACUUUUAUUAAGAACUUGAUGCCUCCAAACAGCAAAUAAAAUUCCUAGGGGCUUCAGGGCCCCUGCCUCCUUCAUCCUCAUAGCAGCACAGGGCCAACUACGGGGCCAUGGACAGAGAUCCCUCAGCUGCUUACUGACCGGUCCUGCAUUUGAUCCUUCACUCCCAUGUCUGGCAGUGGAUGCUGGCUAUUGGCUGGGGGCCUCAGUUCCUCUCCUUGGGGUCUAGAUUGGACCCUCUUGCAUGAUGGCUGGGUAACUGAGAGAGAACCAGGCAUGAACUAUAUUAACAUGAUGAUUUAAUAUGAUUUUGCAUCUCUUUUCUCAUGGGAGCAGUCAAGGGCUAGGACACGGACCCUCAUGCCACAUGCAGCUUCAGGCUGGGUAGAAGGCCAGGAUGAAGUUGUUUCUCCUCUCUCUGUGCUGGCAAUGAGCAGGCAGCACCCAUGUCAGAAGCGUGAGGUGAGUGGGAGAUGCCAAGGAGAGCACAGGUGGGGCAAUCAGACGGUGAUCUGAGCUAACUGAAUAGGAAGGCCACAUAAGGAAAGCCUAGAAGGGAAGGAUCUGAGGCAGUUCCUGUAGGUCCAGCUCAGAGGGGAGAGGGGAGUGGGGAGCCAAUUUCCACCGCCUCCCCAACUCACAGCCCAGCCCCGAAAAUGCUUCGCCGCCUCAGGGGGAAAUUCUGGGGAAGAAAUGCAGUGUAGGUGGCAGGGGUGCUUAUCGAGAUCAGGAGUAGGUGGGAGCAGAUCUUAGAACUUACAUUAGGCCUCAAUCUUCCAAAUCCUGCCUGUGCCCUGUCGCCGCCCCCACAAACCGAUCUUUGACUUUAUCUCUGUAGAAAUGUCCACGGGCCAGCCGUUUCUUUCACAGAGAUUGCAGAUCAGGAAGGACCUUUGGAAACCACAGUUUCCACUUCCGCCAUAGGGGCAGAAGGGUUGGGGCAGCCUAACCCCUUGAGCCUGGGAAGUAACAAAGAGGACCGAAGCUAGAGUCCACCACAACAUCACAGGACACGUCUUGGACCUCUUUGAGAACCAUCUGCUCUUUUGAGAACUGAGACCCAAAGACCACCAAUCACAAAGUAGAGCAUACAACCCCCUUCAGGAGCCAGAGACCGGAACUCAAUUCCUGUUUUAUUGGUGAGCUUCUUCCUUUUGGACCCGUAUCUAGGCCUUUCAAUUCCUGCUUAGGGAGACCCACUGAACUCACUUCUUGAGGGACAUGGCUCUCCCUCGCCUGUUAAGCAAUAAACCCAGCUUCCCCACCGCUGUCAGCUUUGAUGUCUCUGUUUUUUUGGUUUGUUACUUUCAAGUCUCAGUUUAAAGGUCAGUGUCCAAGGGAGGCCUCCCCUGAUACCCUACCCUGUGUUUAGUUCUCGGGCUCUACAUUCCUACGGCAGCAGCCUGCACUCCCCCUUUUGUAAGAGUCAUCACUUCAUUCCCGUAUGUUUUAUGUCUGACCUUCUGAGCUCCGUAGGGCAGGACUCGUCUCUGUCUUGUGGAUUGUGGUAUCCCCAGGCAAGUACAGUGUCUGGUACCUAGGAAGCCAUCAGUAAGUAUUAACUUUUAUUAGUAGAUGCUCCAUAAAUAACCACUGGUCUGAGUUGUCCUCAGGUGGUUUCUCAGAUAGUAUACGCACUUUGUGUCUAAAUUGGUUGAAAUUUCUUUAAGACGAGGAUCCUCUGUGUUCCUUUCUUUAAAUCUCUCACACUAUGCCCAUUGUGGGCUUCUUCAUCCAAGCAACACUUCAUAAAUGAUUAUUAAUUGGUCUCCCCACAACCACUUUCCAAACGGGCAUCAUAUUUGAAGAAAUGAUCAAAUUUAAAAGAAUAUGUUGUGUAGCAGGACAAUUUAUUAUGACUUUAU